GGCCCAGACUCCUACGGGAGGCAGCAGUGGGGAAUAUUGGGCAAUGGGCGCAAGCCUGACCCAGCAACGCCGCGUGAAGGAAGAAGGCUUUCGGGUUGUAAACUUCUUUUCUCAGGGACGAAGAAAGUGACGGUACCUGAGGAAUAAGCCACGGCUAACUACGUGCCAGCAGCCGCGGUAAUACGUAGGGGGCAAGCGUUAUCCGGAUUUACUGGGUGUAAAGGGAGCGUAGACGGUCCUGCAAGCCAGAUGUGAAAGCCCGGGGCUCAACCCCGGGACUGCAUUUGGAACUGCAUGGCUGGAGUGCGGGAGGGGCAGGCGGAAUUCCUGGUGUAGCGGUGAAAUGCGUAGAUAUCAGGAGGAACACCGGCGGCGAAGGCGGCCUGCUGGACCGCGACUGACGUUGAGGCUCGAAAGCGUGGGGAGCGAACAGGAUUAGAUACCCCUGUA
Molecule: ribosomal RNA, 450 nt
Filed under: uncultured bacterium
Lineage: Bacteria
Description: bacterial SSU rRNA
Rfam family: Bacterial small subunit ribosomal RNA
Source: RNAcentral